Acinonyx jubatus (cheetah) is the source of this 3448-nucleotide long non-coding RNA. RefSeq lists it as uncharacterized. Lineage: Eukaryota; Metazoa; Chordata; Mammalia; Carnivora; Felidae. The record is from RefSeq and is a predicted model, not a curated record. The transcript has 3 exons.
GUAUCUUUAAUAAGUACUGGAUAUUCAUCAGUUUUUAUGUUUGUGUUUUUACAUAUUAUAUAUUUUCCAUCAUUUUUCUCUUGUCAUUGACUCAUGGAAUUAAGAUUAUACCCAUAUCAGCUUGUUUCUAUCUUCCAGUUUUCUGUUCCAUGGAAAACAAGAAAUAAAUGGCCCACUCCAAUUAGAAAAAUUCAAAGAGAAUGAGGCUGUAUAUAAAGUGUCUAUUUGAAAGCUGGACAGAUGAAGGCAGACCAGGGUACACGCAGCAACCAAAUCUAAGCAGUAGCAAACCUGUUAACAUCCUAGGUCCUAAGGAACAAGGAGAUGGGGGGAGGUUCCAACCCUUGGAGAGACAUCUGUAUAUUGCAGUCUGCCUUGUGAUAAGCAAUGACUUUCUGUGGAAGAAUAAAACUGGAAUGAGUCACUGUGCAGAGAGAAAUCAGAUGAUUAACUAUCUUUCCAUCUUUCUUCUUCCCCCACCUCCACCAUCUUCUGUCAAGUCUCCACCCUGACUGGCUCCAGCUAAAAGCAGAGGGCAUGGGACAUGGUCCUUACAAGUCAGCCUGGCACGGGCAACAAGGGUGGAGUUUCUCCUGACUCUCUCAUGCUUGUGGGUUUGUUUGUUUUUUUGUUUUUUUUUUUAUUGUGGCUUGUGUUCCUUGAAAUAUUAACUGUAGGAGUCAUUUGAGCCUGCAUUUAAAUUCCUUUCUUCCAGAUUAAGUUUGUCCUUGCUUUACCUAGGUGACAAUCUACCUUUUUUGGGGGGGAGGGGGGAGAACUUCUAUGGCCUGAAUAUUUAUAUCCCCCCCAAAUUUGUAUGCUGAAGUUUUAACCCCCAAAGGUGUUGGGAUUAGUAGAUGGGGCCUUUGGUUUGGAAGGUGUUUAAGUCUGGAGGGUAGAGACUUCAUAAAUGGGAUUAGUGCCUUAUUAAAGAGGCUCCAAAGAGAUUCCUUGCCUCCUGGUGCCAUGUGAAGAUACAAUGGUAAGUCUGUGACCUGGAAGAUGGCCUUUACCCACCCAUGCCAGCGCCCUGAUCUCAGACCCCCAGCUUCCAGAACUGUGAGUCAUAAAUUUCUGCUGUUUAUUAGAAGUCCCCCAGUCUGGGGUAUUUUGCUAUAGCAGCUUGGACAGACUAAGAAAAUUGGUGCCAAGAGUGUGGUUGCUGCUAUCACAAAUACCUAAAAAUGUACAAGUGGCUUUGGCGCUCUAUUAUGGGCAGCGCCUGAAGAGGCAUGUUUGGAAAAGCCUAUGCUGCUUUGAAUGAACUCUUAAAGGUAAAGCUGGGGAGGGCUCAGAAAAGGAGAGCUGUAGAGAAAGCCUCAAUCUAUAAGAGAAUAUCUAAGUGCUCAUGAAAAAGAUGUUGGGGGGAAAUAGUAAUGGUAAGGGCUAUUUUGAUGAGGUCUCAGAUGGCAGGAAGGAACAUGUUAUUGGCACCUGGAAGAAAGACAAUCCUUGUUAUCAAGUGACAAGGAGCUUGGCUGAAUUGUGCCGUGUCCUCGUGUUUGGGAAAAGGUAGAACUGUGAGCGAUGAAAUUGGAUAUCUGGCUGAAACUACUUCCAAGCAAAGUGUUGAAGGAACAGCUUGGCUUCUUUUGAAUGUUUACAGUCAAAUUUAAGAAGCAAGAAAUGAUUUGGAGACAGAGUGGUUAAUCAAAAAGGAAACAACACUUAAAUAUUUGGAAAAUUCUCAGCCUAUCCAGAAGAAGAAACCACGCUCAUCAGAGAACACAAGGGUUGUGGCCAAGUUGGAUAGAGAUUGGUGUACAUCCAUCAUAUCAAUGGAAACUAGGAGUUAUUCAUCAAGAUGGUGGGGAGAUUGGUUUAGAUGUUGAUCUAAACAAGCCAAAACCUACUUUCUAAGGCAAUGAAAGCAUGACCCUGAAGGCAUUUCAGAGAUCUUCUGGGCUGGCCCUCACACUACCCAUCUGUAGAGAAGAGUAGAAGGCACCUGCAGGGGGAAAAAAAAAAAAGGCAAAGGAAGAACCUCUACUGUCCAGGGCCACCUCACGUCCUGGGUUCAGCUCCAGAAUUUCAAUUGUGGCACAAAAAUCCUCAACUGUCCCGGGUUCGACACCCACGAUGUGGCUGCACCUCCAGGGGGCACCUUCUCCACCACCCUGUGGAGCCCAAGAGCCCUGAAGCUACAACUGCCUCCACCUGGAUUUCAAAGUGUCCUUGAGAGCCUCCACCCAGGCAGAGACCUGCUCUGGGGGCAAGACUAUUGCAGAGCCCCCGGUGGGGUAUUGCCCACCGAGGCCAUGGGAGCAGGGCACAGUCCCCAUGAACCCUACCCACAUUGGUAGAUCUGUUGGCCUGCGAUUCCAGCCAACUGCAAUUCUGGGGGCUCAGCUGCAAUGUGGGGCACGGAGCCAAGGGGUUUUAGCAUUGUUUGCCUCAUUAGGUUUUGGUCUCCCUUUAGACCUGUUGCUGCCAUCCCCCUUCUGAGUGGCUUCGCUGUCUCCGCUUUGCUCCACCGUUUUGGAGCUGUAUGCACCUGGAAACAGUGCUCCUCCUUCUGACAAAUAAAUGAUCAGAAGAUCAAGAGUCUCCUAACGCUACGUCACAAUGUGUCAUUCACUUCACUUCAUCUCUUCAUUCUGCAUUUCAUCAUCUCAAGGCAUCGCAAGAGGGAGGACUUUUGCCUGACAGCUAUGUAGAGCCCCGAAACAGGUGCAUUUAUUACCCAUCCGUCUCCAUCCCUUUUACCAAAACAGAGGAAGGUAGACAGGUGACCUGAUACAGCAGAAAGAAGACCGCUCAGAUGUCAAGACAAGUCUGAGUAGGUUUGCAGGAUUUGUAAGAAGAUGCAAAAGUAACCAUUGUACGUCUCAAGGAUUAUCAAAGGGAAAGGGAUCUCCGUGAAGCUGCUCAACUCCUAAAACUGUCAUUAUCUCACCUGUACAUCGUGUGAUGGUUUAAAUAGUAGAUGAGUGCCUGGACUACUGGAACCAUCUAUUGUAUACCAAUCCACAAUGGGAGGCCUGUUUUGUCAUGUAUCUGUGCAUCAUACUUAUACCCUCUUUGGCACUGUGGACUCCUGCCUUGACAGGGGGAAAAUUAGAAGCAAUGAAUAAACCAGUGGAAAAACUUCAGAGAAAUGAAUGAUAAGUUUUGUUUUCCUAUAAUCUUUGUUUCAAAAUAUCCUUCAUACCAUGAACUUCAGUGAAAUAUAUGUCGGUUCCUGUGCUGAUGUAUGAAUACACCCACAGCAGAUUGCACAUACAAAACCUCGGUCAACAAAUAGAGAAUGGUUUCAUUGUCUGCAGUAGCAUUCCCUGAUUGGAAACAGUCCCUUGGGUAUUCAUUACUGAAGAUAAAUCCCACCCCUUGAAACUGCGGCCACCUCGCUCAUGAUACCAGACAAGACAUUGCUGGUGAAUCCAUUUGUUCUUCUCAGCUUUAGACCAACACAGGUGAUUAACCAGGUAAAGCUCUUACUCUUCCUUUU